AAAACGAUCCAAGUAGAUUUUGAAAAUAAAUAAAUAAAAUAUCGUGUGAAUUAUCCAAUCAACAAAUUUGAAUAUUCCAUAAAAGACAGGUCAUCAAAAGGGCCAUAGAAACAUAAUCUAAACAAUAGAAAAUGAACGAAUUAUGCACUCAUGGCAUUGGCCAUGACGUGACAGUCAAGAGCCACCUAAGCAUGAAAAAAAAUAAAAAAUGAGUCGUUCGUAAUUCAUGGCAUUCACCAUGAAGAACAUGGCCUCCACCAUGGACCUUAAAGACCACGUUCUACCGGUUUGCAUUCAUGGCGUCCGCCAUGAUCUUUGAGGCAAGAAAAUAACAACAACUUGG
Molecule: long non-coding RNA, 343 nt
Filed under: Lathyrus oleraceus (garden pea)
Lineage: Eukaryota; Viridiplantae; Streptophyta; Magnoliopsida; Fabales; Fabaceae
Description: Pisum sativum (pea) long non-coding RNA (PSAT_LNC016525)
Source: RNAcentral